GCUUUCUGUACAUGGACACUGAAUUUCCAAAAGUAUUACAUAUAAUAAAAGAGCCCUCCUCACAUGUUAUCACGCAUUCAUUCAUCAAACACCAAGCAUGUUGAAAGUGACAGCUCCUGGAGUAGGCACUAAGGAUGUGACAUUGAAUUGGAUAUGACGGCUACUCCUGAGAAGCUCAUGGCUAUUGGAGAAGAUACGUAUGCAAAUGCUGAGUGACCACUCCCAGUGGAAGCAAGACAAGGGGUGCUUCUUGACUGGGAAGGAGUGGAAGAGGUCCUAGGUGCAGAAGGGUAUGGAAGAUAAGGUCAAAGGAUGUGCUGGUGGGAAUGGGAGACAACUGAGAAGGUGAGACAAGCUGGAGGAAAUGUCAGGAGCUGCUGAGAGAAGCUCAGCCUGACCAGAGAUGAGAAUUGCCAUCUUGAAUCGUCAGGAAGUGAAGGAAAGCCCAGGUGAAUGCCACCCAAUCAAAAAGAAAAAACAAAUGCAGAUGGUAAGGUAGAGAAGGCUCUGAAGCCCAGGUAAUGAGAGCCAUGUUACCCUGGACAGAAGCAUCCAACACCACACAUCUCCAAGGAUGUUGGAGAUCCAGCAUCUGGAUCCAGCUAACUUCUGCAUCCUCUUCUGUACUCACAAGAGUUAACAUGGACGUCCAUGCAUCUGCUGGACAACACCCCCUAGAACGAGUGUCUUUGUAUGUUUUCACACACAUAAUGAUGUUAUAUCUGCUGCCAUCCUACUGAGUAAGGG
RNAcentral lists this long non-coding RNA (747 nucleotides) under Homo sapiens (human). RNAcentral's name for it is "HSALNT0168121". The record is from RNAcentral. Lineage: Eukaryota; Metazoa; Chordata; Mammalia; Primates; Hominidae.